RNAcentral lists this ribosomal RNA (462 nucleotides) under uncultured bacterium. RNAcentral's name for it is "partial 16S ribosomal RNA". It matches the Rfam family "Bacterial small subunit ribosomal RNA", at positions 28 to 507 of the family's 1533-position model. The record is from RNAcentral.
GACGAACGCUGGCGGCGUGCUUAACACAUGCAAGUCGAACGGAAAGGCCCUUCGGGGUACUCGAGUGGCGCACGGGUGCGUCACACGUGGGUGAUCUGCCCUGCACUUUGGGAUAAGCCUGGGAAACUGGGUCUAAUACCGAAUAGGACCACGCGCUUCAUGGUGUGUGUUUGAAAGCUUUUGCGGUGUGGGAUGGGCCCGCGGCCUAUCAGCUUGUUGGUGGGGUAAUGGCCUACCAAGGCGACGACGGGUAGCCGGCCUGAGAGGGUGACCGGCCACACUGGGACUGAGAUACGGCCCAGACUCCUACGGGAGGCAGCAGUGGGGAAUAUUGCACAAUGGGCGCAAGCCUGAUGCAGCGACGCCGCGUGAGGGAAGACGGCCUUCGGGUUGUAAACCUCUUUCAAUAGGGACGAAGCGCAAGUGACGGUACCUAUAGAAGAAGAACCGGCCAACUACGUG